CCUGAGAAACCCAAAAGAUCGAAUGGGGAGAUUCAUCGUCAGCGAUCCGGGCGCGUGUGCGGCUCGCGAUGUUCGCGCGGACUGCGGUCCGUGGCGGCACGCGUCCGCAUGUGUCUCAAUCCAUUGCCCGGUGUCGUCGGCGUGCACUUCUCCCCUAGUAGGACGUCGCGACCCGUUGGGUGUCGGCCUACGGCCCGGGGUGGCAGCCUGUCGUUUGUCGCGCUUCGCGGCGCGCAUGCGGCAGACCCCCGGUCGCCCGGGCGACUACCCGGCGGUACUCGCACGGUAUCGGGCCGCAGACAUUCGAACUGCGUCCGGCCCGCCGCAAGCGCGGCCAGCAUCCCGGUAGUUAAACGGACCAAGUCGCCGUCGCCGGGUCUGGCCAGCUGUUGGGUUGGCGGUGCCAUCGGACCGGCUCUCGGCGGGAGCCUCAAAACUCCCCCGCAAAUUGUGAUACCGGUCGGCGACGCUACUGCUUUGGGUACUUUCAGGA
Molecule: ribosomal RNA, 493 nt
Filed under: Brachyscleroma sp. CNC 422428
Lineage: Eukaryota; Metazoa; Arthropoda; Insecta; Hymenoptera; Ichneumonidae
Description: partial 28S ribosomal RNA
Source: RNAcentral